Long non-coding RNA from Homo sapiens (human), 1789 nucleotides. The record is from Ensembl. Lineage: Eukaryota; Metazoa; Chordata; Mammalia; Primates; Hominidae.
GUCGGCCGGUCGGUUUGGUCGGUUGUAGUGGCCUCGCCGCCCGGUCCGCUGUCGCAGCGCUCAUCCGCGCCGGGAGCCCUUGGCUGCGUCGCCCGGCAGCCGCGCCUCGCGAGACCGCUGUCUACGGCGCUGACGCCGCCUCUGCCUCUUGACCCCUUGGCCCCGCUGUCCUGAUCCCUGAGGUCGGGGCCUGGUCUGCACUCCAGGAAAGACGAGUGCGCUUAGUGUGCGCUGCACGUGAGCAGUGAAGUUGAUUCCACGCGCUGCGCUGCUCGGCAGCUGUCCCAGAACUGACCACGGACCCCUCCGCGGGUCCUGCUCCUGACAAGGGCCUUCCGGCACUGGGAGUUUUGUGUUAGUGGAAAGGAAGAAUCUAAUAAUACCACCACCUUUACAGUAAAGACGCUGCGAAUUGACGCCUUUUAUAAUAAAGACACUUAUCUUGCCCAAGAGCUGGGCUGGAGUGUAGUGGCGCAAUCUUGGAUCACCACAACCUCCGUCUCCCAGGUUCAAGCGAUUCUCCCGCCUCAGCCUCCUGAGUAGCAAUUACAGGUAAAGGUUGUGGCCAGAAAGCACGGGCAGCCUGGGACUCCUGUUGCCAUAGCAACCCAGCUACCGCCGAGGACUUCUGCGGCUUUUCCAGCCCAGCAGCAGCCGCUCCAGCCCCUGGCACCCACCACUGUACUGUCUGUCUCUGCGGAUUGGAAUGCACUUCUCCAGCGACCUAACAAAUACAUAUGGGGACUCCAGUACCUGGAGAUGUGAAUUCCAUAAAAAUGGAAGCAUCUAAGAGGCAGUGAACACUGGCGCCCACAGGAGAACCAGGUGCAUCAGCGCAUUGCGGAGCUGAGGAAAGCAGGUCUGUGGUCCCAGAGGCGUCUGCUGAAGCUGCAGGAGGCCCACGACCCAAGUCCCACUGGGACUAUCUGCUGGAGGAGAUGCAGUGGAUGGCCACAGACUUUGCCCAGGAGAGGUGGAAGGUGGCCUCUGUGAAGAAGAUGGUCAGAGCUGUGGCCCGGCAGCUGCAGGACAGGACGCGCAGGGAGGCCGGGGCCAGGAGGGAGGAGCCGAGCAGGCUGAGGCAGACGUCACCUGUACUACCAGAGAAAUCGAGCGUCCCUGGUCUAGUACUGCGCAGGUAAAGAUUCCAGCAUCUUGGAAGCAAGUGCUCCACUGGAAAAUAAAAGCCACGUGGAGCACUUGAUUAGACUCCAGAAACAGAAACUGCAGCUGCUCCCACCACCCCCACCACCACAGGCCCUGCCCGGGGCACAGCCAACCACACAAGUGCAAGUGCAGCCGUCACCCGCCUACCACAGCAGAGCCCCCAGCUCACCACAGUCACGGCCCCGAGACCCAGAGCCCUGUUGAUGGGCACCACCAUGGCCAACCUCCAGACUCGAGUUUCCACCUCCCACCUGCAAGGCCCAAGACUGACGUCAGCGCUGACGUACCAGAUGGCCCAGGUUGCUGUGGCCACGCCCCCUGUGGUGUCUGUCCUGGCAGUUGUGGUGCUGUCAGCCAGGGUCACAGUGCUUCCAUCAACGCAACGGGAUCAGUGUUGUGAUAAGGCAGCUGCAAAAAGCGGCAGUUGCAAAAGAUGGUGAAGAACUCAAGCUGAAGAGGUGUCUGCUGAAUUUUGUUGCUUCGGUAGGAGCUUUUCACCAUCAGUUUUUAGAAAGUACGCAUGACUCUCCUUCUGUUGAUAUCUCUCUUGAUUUGGCAAAGAGUACAAGGAGGACCGCAAAGGGUUGCCAUAUAAUCAUCACAAAUAGAUCCAGGGAUGCCA